AAAAUUUACUGUCUACUGCAGGUCUGGUGGUGAUUGGAGUACAACUUAUGCUCCUUCUCCAUUCUAUAUGACAUCGAAGAUGAGGUCGCUUUACCUUGAAGGUUAUAAUUAUUCAGUUUUUGAUCUAACAAGACUCGAUAGAGUUCAAAUACAGGUAAUUCUUAAUGUUGCUUGUUAGACUUGUCCAGGCAGUUUGAGAUUCAAAAAUUACAUGUUUAUAAUUCAAUAUUUAUUUUGAUAAUUGCAAUAUAACUGAGGCCAGUGUUUACAGGAACUAAUAGUAUUGCAAAUUUGAGGGGGAAAUAAUAACCAUACAAAAGUAUUCUAUUAUCAUUAUUUUGUGAUUUUUUUAAUUUUUUUUUUUACAAUUUCAACUUAACGAAAAGCUAAAUAAGAUUUUUUUUUUUCUCAUGAAUAAGGGGACGUUCAUCUCCGGAGAAAGUACAAAAAAUGAAAUAAUAAUCUUUUAGUACUUGUAGAACAGAUUUGGGAUUUACUCGUAUUACAAACUAACUAACCUCGGGACUCUGGAAUUAUGGCAUGUUGGCAGAUACAUGGAGAUUCAGUUGAAGGUAGAAUAUUGCAUGGGAAUUCACCUUCUGAGCUCAUUGAAUGCUUUACAGAAACUAUUGGGAGACCUCCAGAGCUUCCUAGUUGGAUAAUUUCAGGUGCUGUGGUGGGAAUGCAAGGUGGUACAGAUACUGUACGCCGUGUUUGGGAUGAACUGAAAACAUAUGAUGUCCCUGUUUCAGCAUUUUGGUUGCAGGUAAAUUUUGUUAUAGAGAAUCAUACAAAAAGUACUUCCAAUGAAAAUGUUUUCCCUUCGCAACAAACAUUUGGAAAUUCUAAUAUCCUGUCACUGUUAAGGAUACAGAUUUUCUCAAACUUUACAAGUUUUAGGAUUUGAGUUUUAUAUUUGAUUAGUAUUAAUUUUUUUAAUAAUAAUAAAAAAAACACAUCCUUUUCAUAAUUAGGAUUUGAACUUUCAACAAAGAUGAGAACUUCUGCCUCUGUAUCCUAAUCUUCUCUUCUCCUUCUCUUUUCUGAUUCUAUAAGAAUUUAAUUCAGGGACAAGUAGAAUCUCUUCAUCAGAUGAUUCAAUAAAAUAUUUUAAAUCUAUAUCAAAUCGAUAGGUGCAUGUAUCAAUCAAAUGAAUUUCAUUCUUCUGGGAACAUUUUGGGAAAAUAAAGCAUAAAACUACUAUUGUAUUGUUGUGCAGGACUGGGUAGGCCAGAGGGAGACUGUGAUCGGAUCCCAACUUUGGUGGAAUUGGGAAGUGGAUACUACAAGGUAUAGAGGAUGGCAGAAACUAACUAAAGACCUCUGUGCUCAGCAGAUUAAAGUGAUGACAUACUGCAACCCUUGUUUAGCUCCGGUAAAUCUCUAGAACAAUUUUAGGAGCAAUUAUUAAAACUAUACAACAUGAUACAUGUGCUGUUAUUUUUGAAAAAAAUGAUAGAAUUAGAAUAUGCGAGUAUGUUUUGAAGCUCUUACUUGUAACAACAGAUGGAUAAAAAGACAAAUAUAAGGAGAAACCUCUUUGAGGAGGCAAAAAAGUUAGACAUCUUAGUGAGAGACAAGAAUGGAAAACCAUACAUGGUUCCUAACACAGCCUUCAAUGUGGGAAUGUUGGAUUUGACACACCCACAUGCAAGUAGUUGGUUCAAGCAGGUUUUACAGGAAAUGGUGGAUGAUGGAGUCAGGGGAUGGAUGGCUGAUUUUGGUGAAGGCCUGCCCGUGGACGCCUUCCUCUAUUCAGGUUUGAUUAUGCAAACUGCUUUCUUGAAUGAUUUUGAAUUUUUGAUAAUGCCACCCCAAUCGGAUGUAAGAUCAUAUUGUAUAUUUUAUGGUGCUAAGGAAUAAAAUCCAUCUUCUGUAGUGUAAUAAGUUGUGCAAAAGUAUUACUAACAACUUUCCACUAUUUCCGUUCCUACUCUCUUAUAGUAAAGAUGGUACUGACAUCAAAAUUCAUCCAUAAAGACUUGUGUAAGAGACUUCUAACAAGCGUAAGAGAAGAGGGGAGGGGGGGAUUUCCACUCCAAUUUUUAGUUCUCAACAUCAAUUAUGACAAAAUACGUUUACCUUGACAUUCUGUAUUUUUUUUGUCAACUGUCAAAUAGAUUGAUAUUUUAUAAAUGGACAUCCAAGGUUCAGCCAUGACUUUAAGAAGCACAUUAUUUUUCAACUAAUUUUUUCCCCCUUCAGAAUCAUUUAACUGGAUUUCCACAACAACAAAAUUUAUACGCACUGCAUAUUUAGUUUCUCUUCAAUGCAAAAACGAGAAGAAUUUUAGUAAUAUUAUGGUUAAAAAUUUCAAGAUACUUAAAUUAAGGUCAUGUUUUACUAUUCCUUCAGGUGAAGAUCCUAUCUCUGCCCAUAAUAGAUACCCAGAGCUAUGGGCCAAGAUAAACCACGAGUUUGUGGAAGAAUGGAAAAGUGCACGUAUAGGUAAGGAGAAGGAAGACCCAGAGGAGGCCUUAGUUUUCUUCAUGAGAGCAGGUUUUAGGAACAGUCCUAAAUAUGCUAUGCUAUUUUGGGAAGGGGACCAAAUGGUAAGUUGGCAGGCUAAUGAUGGGAUAAAAAGUUCAGUUGUCGGGUUGCUGAGUGGUGGACUUUCUGGCUAUGCUUUUAACCAUAGUGAUAUUGGAGGAUACUGUGCAGUAAACUUACCAUUUUUGAAGUAUCAUAGAAGCGAGGAGUUGCUAUUGCGAUGGAUGGAGUUAAAUGCCUUCACCACUGUAUUUCGGACUCAUGAAGUAAGUUAUAAGUCUGCCACCUGAAAUGCAUAAUUAUGAAAUAUCGUCCACAUAAUCAAAUACAGUUAAAUAUAUUAGGCUAUUGUGAGUCUGUGACACUUAUAGCAGCUCUAUGAAUUGAAAAGUCUAAUAUUGUGGUAAUUUUAAAUGUCCUGUUCUCAGAUACAUCAACUUUGUGAUUCAUAAGUAACAAUCUAUUUUCUUCCUGGUUUAGAGUAGUCCCUUAAAAGAUAUAGACCAUAUAUAUUAAUAAUUGUUGAAGAAUUUAAAGCAGUAAAAAUCAUUGUGAUUCUCCGAAGUCCUAAUAUAUUAAUAUGCCAAGUAAUAUAUUGCAUUCGAAGACAGGUUUAAACCACGAGGUCCAUUUUUACUUUGAAAGAAAUAUAAUAAUGCUAUUUAUUUCAUGAAAUUUACUUCAGGCAAGUUAUAUAACAAGUUUGUGGUUCUGUAAACAGGGAAACAAGCCAUCUUGCAACAGCCAGUUUUACUCGAACCACAAAACUUUAUCGCAUUUUGCACGUUUAGCAAAUGUGUAUAAAGCUUGGAAGUUUUACAGGAUACAACUUGUUAAGGUGAUGCUAGAACUCAAUUGAUAUUUUAUUUACUCUUGACAUACAAAGUCUACAAUGCACAAACAAUCUAAUUUAAUUUGCAUGUUUCAUCUAUCAGGAAGCUUCUCAGAAAGGCCUCCCUGUUUGCCGCCACCUAUUUCUUCACUACCCAGAUGAUGAACAUGUGCAUAGCUUGACAUAUGAGCAAUUUCUUGUUGGUACAGAGAUUCUAUUAGUGCCUGUUCUAGACAAAGGCAAAAAGAAUGUUAAGGCCUAUUUUCCAAUAGGAGAAAGGUAUCCAUGGAAACAUAUUUGGACAGGAAAUCUAUACGAAGAACAAGGUUCAGAAGCAUGGGUCGAAGCUCCAAUUGGUUAUCCUGCGGUUUUUAUUAAGGAUGGCUCGGUUAUUGGAGAGACCUUUAUAAAAAAACUAAUAGAAUUCAAUAUUUUGUAAAGAAGUAGCCACAACAAGAUGUAUACAUCAGAAUAUAGUUGUCAACUUUUCAAGAUUGUAGGUACUCCCAUCCUUGUAUGCAGCAAGCCAGAAGUUCUAUUUUUGUAUGUUAGAUUACAAUUGGUUGUACAAUCCAAAUAAUCUGUUCAGUGUAAUUAUUUCAGUUUUUGCUAUAUCAAUAUCAUUAUGUACUUGCAAAGUGAUUAGUUAAUGAUCGACAGCCAAUAAUCUCGGAGGUUCCUGCAUAAAAAUUCAGCACCAUUCAGACAUUAAAACAAACAUCUUCGUGUAUCAAUCAAGAAUACCUCGUCAGGCAUUAAAACAAAGUAACAAACAUCUUCAUGUAUCAAUCAAGAAGACUUCUUUUCCUCUGAAAGCUGCUUCUAAUUGACCAAAAUUUGACACCCAACAAUUCAAAUUAUAAACACGAAUCCCCCAUUUAAGGAAAUUCAAUAAUAACAACCAUUCUAAUUUCUCAAGAAUCAGUUAAUUGGUCAAACCCAUAAAGUAAAAUAGAUAGUAAACUUGCUAAAACACAAAAGAACACUAUUUAUGGCCAAUCAGAUUGAAAAAAAGAGCUACUAUCGCAUCUUUCUUCUUGUGAGUUUGUUCUUUCUUCAAAAUUUAAAAACUGAAAAGUAGAAUGAGCAAACUUAUUUGGGGCACUGAAGAAAAAUUGUUAUAUAACUUGGCUGAAGGAAACUCACCUUUCCAAGGAAAAUUGGAAAUGCUUCGUAGCAAAAGAAUGAAGUGAGAUUGAGAUUGAUACAGGGGCUUGUCAUUUGUUUGAGCUUUUUCCAGACUUGUUCCGUACGACAGUUAAAUAUAACUGAUUCGGAUACUACGCGGGAUAUUCGCU
Molecule: long non-coding RNA, 4620 nt
Filed under: Panax ginseng (ginseng)
Lineage: Eukaryota; Viridiplantae; Streptophyta; Magnoliopsida; Apiales; Araliaceae
Description: long non-coding RNA (PGIN_LNC004933)
Source: RNAcentral